UACGGGGGGGGCAAGCGUUGUUCGGAAUUACUGGGCGUAAAGGGCUCGUAGGCGGCCAACUAAGUCGGAUGUGAAAUCCCCAGGCUCAACUUGGGAACUGCAUCCGAUACUGGAUGGCUUGAAUUCGGGAGAGGGAUGCAGAAUUCCAGGUGUAGCGGUGAAAUGCGUAGAUAUCUGGAGGAAUACCGGUGGCGAAGGCGGCAUCCUGGACCGACAUUGACGCUGAGGAGCGAGAGCUAGGGGAGCAAACGGG
RNAcentral lists this ribosomal RNA (253 nucleotides) under uncultured bacterium. Its description in RNAcentral is "partial 16S ribosomal RNA". It matches the Rfam family "Bacterial small subunit ribosomal RNA", at positions 524 to 776 of the family's 1533-position model. The record is from RNAcentral.